UAUCAAUAUUUUCUUCCUCUCGUUCAUUGGGCUUUAUUGCACUAAGUUCCACCGACAGCCUCCUCACGUUAGGGACACGCCUUCGCUAAAUGUUCAUUGGGCAGACUCUAAUAGUUACUGAUUCUUUUUUAAGCAGCUUGCCUCCUUCUCUUCUGCCAUUCGCGACGCCCGGUGCCUAUCACGCACCCUUUCAGGAGAAAAGCUGCUGCCAAUCCUUUCGAUUCUUCUUUUCUGUCUUUGUAUCAUUGGACGAAACAUCCAUUCCAUCAAGCGUAUCAGCCCCGCCCUUCCAGAGAGAAUCGACCAAUGAGGGGUGUUGUUGACACUGAUCAACAACGCACAACUCCUCUGCACGAAUUUUUNGGGGGGCGCCGCUGUCCGCCCUCCCGCCCUCUCUUCUCUUUCCUUAGAGAGAGGGAGCGCGCGCGCCUAGGAGAGAAAAGGGAGGCGGGGCAAUGCUUGACGCCUUACCCACGCGGCAGCGCGCUGUUGCUGNCGCUCGCUCGCUAGCCCGCCGCUGCUGGCAGUCAGGCAGUCAGUCUCAAGGGCGCGCGCGCUCGCUCGCUCGCUCCCCCUGCUUGCGAGCUGCUGGUGCUGCUGCCGCCUCGUGCCCUUCUUCACUCCCCACAGUCGGGUCGUCGGGCUCUGUGUGUCUGUGUGUGUGUCUGUCGCCCGCGUUGCGCCUUCUCGAGUAUUCGCCUUCUGCCGCGUGCGGGGAUUACGGAGAAGCGGUGAGCUUCGAGCUCGCCCGCUCCCUGUCUCCCGAGGGCCGCUCAAGCAGACUGAAUUGGAAGCCGCGAGGAGCUGGGAAGUCCCCCUCCCCAUGCAUUCCGCAUCUGCAGAAGAUUUUGGAACACCAAAAUGAGUGAGGGGAAAUGAUCUUGAUUCUGUCCUUCUGCAUUUUUUUAUGAUGCUGUGCUUUUUUCUUAAUUGAGAAGUAAGAAAUGAUUCUCAUGUAUUUUCUGUCCUAAGGCUUACUCCCUAAAUCACCUAAGUGUCUAAUUAAACUGUGAUGGUACCUAACUGCUAUACUGUAGCAUUAACACUGGCAUAACAUUUUGAUUUGUAAUUCUCUGUUAUUCUCUGAUGAUACUUUUCAGUGUUUGCCUUUGCAUUUAUAAAAAU
RNAcentral lists this long non-coding RNA (1125 nucleotides) under Salvator merianae (Argentine black and white tegu). RNAcentral's name for it is "lncRNA (ENSSMRG00000015712.1)". Lineage: Eukaryota; Metazoa; Chordata; Lepidosauria; Squamata; Teiidae. The record is from RNAcentral.